CUGCCCUAUCAACUUUCGAUG
This 21-nucleotide non-coding RNA is filed under the name Arabidopsis thaliana (thale cress). Lineage: Eukaryota; Viridiplantae; Streptophyta; Magnoliopsida; Brassicales; Brassicaceae. The record is from RNAcentral.